CCGGAGUGGACGCAUCACUGGUGUUCGGGUUGUCAUGCCAAUGGCACUGCCCGGUAGCUAAAUGCGGAAGAGAUAAGUGCUGAAAGCAUCUAAGCACGAAACUUGCCCCGAGAUGAGUUCUCCCUGACCCUUUAAGGGUCCUGAAGGAACGUUGAAGACGACGACGUUGAUAGGUCGGGUGUGUAAGCGCAGCGAUGCGUUGAGCUAACCGAUACUAAUGAACCGUGAGGCUUAACCUUACAACGCCGAAGCUGUU
This 256-nucleotide ribosomal RNA is filed under the name Enterobacter cloacae subsp. cloacae. RNAcentral's name for it is "partial 23S ribosomal RNA". It matches the Rfam family "Bacterial large subunit ribosomal RNA", at positions 2692 to 2925 of the family's 2925-position model. Lineage: Bacteria; Pseudomonadati; Pseudomonadota; Gammaproteobacteria; Enterobacterales; Enterobacteriaceae. The record is from RNAcentral.